GCAGUAGUGAUUCAGUGGUAGAAUUCUUGCCUUCCAUGCCAGAGACCUGGGUUCAAUUCCUGGUCAGUGUA
This 71-nucleotide transfer RNA is filed under the name Loxodonta africana (African savanna elephant). It matches the Rfam family "tRNA". From Rfam's summary of the family: Transfer RNA (tRNA) molecules are approximately 80 nucleotides in length. Lineage: Eukaryota; Metazoa; Chordata; Mammalia; Proboscidea; Elephantidae. The record is from Rfam by way of RNAcentral.